Molecule: ribosomal RNA, 228 nt
Filed under: uncultured bacterium
Lineage: Bacteria
Description: partial 16S ribosomal RNA
Rfam family: Bacterial small subunit ribosomal RNA
Source: RNAcentral
GAUCCUGGCUCAGGAUGAACGCUAGCUACAGGCUUAACACAUGCAAGUCGAGGGGCAGCAUGUCGGUUGCUUGCAACCGAUGAUGGCGACCGGCGCACGGGUGAGUAACGCGUAUCCAACCUACCCUUGUCCAUCGGAUAACCCGUCGAAAGGCGGCCUAACACGAUAUGCGGUUCACAGCAGGCAUCUAAGGUGAACGAAAUGUGAAGGAGAAGGAUGGGGAUGCGU